UGGGAAUAAGUACAUGCUGCUCUCAGCUC
Molecule: non-coding RNA, 29 nt
Filed under: Rattus norvegicus (Norway rat)
Lineage: Eukaryota; Metazoa; Chordata; Mammalia; Rodentia; Muridae
Source: RNAcentral